GACGAACGCUGGCGGCGUGCUUAACACAUGCAAGUCGAACGGCAAGGCCCUGCUUUUGUGGGGUGCUCGAGUGGCGAACGGGUGAGUAACACGUGAGUAACCUGCCCUUGACUUUGGGAUAACUUCAGGAAACUGGGGCUAAUACCGGAUAGGAGCUCCUGCUGCAUGGUGGGGGUUGGAAAGUUUCGGCGGUUGGGGAUGGACUCGCGGCUUAUCAGCUUGUUGGUGGGGUAGUGGCUUACCAAGGCUUUGACGGGUAGCCGGCCUGAGAGGGUGACCGGCCACAUUGGGACUGAGAUACGGCACGGAGUCCUACGGGAGGCGGCAGAGGGGAAUAUUGCACAAUGGGCGGAAGCCUGAUGCAGCAACGCCGCGUGCGGGAUGACGGCCUUCGGGUUGUAAACCGCUUUCGCCUGUGACGAAGCGUGAGUGACGGUAAUGGGUAAAGAAGCACCGGCUAACUACGUG
This 468-nucleotide ribosomal RNA is filed under the name uncultured bacterium. Its description in RNAcentral is "partial 16S ribosomal RNA". It matches the Rfam family "Bacterial small subunit ribosomal RNA", at positions 28 to 507 of the family's 1533-position model. The record is from RNAcentral.